Monodelphis domestica (gray short-tailed opossum) is the source of this 1384-nucleotide long non-coding RNA. RefSeq lists it as uncharacterized. The record is from RefSeq and is a predicted model, not a curated record. NCBI's taxonomy places the organism in Eukaryota, Metazoa, Chordata, Mammalia, Didelphimorphia, Didelphidae.
GGCACAUGUGAGACACAGGAAGUGAGGUAGAAAACAGCCUCUGGAGUUCUCGGGACUUCCUGUGAGGAGGGUUAGAGGCAGUUGGAGGCUGGUGCUUGGAGUUGGAAGAGCCCCACAGGCUGCUUUCCUUCAGAUUGGUCACAAAUAUUCUUCUGGAGAUUUAUGGAAUACUAUCUCUGAAGAAACAUCAUGAUGAUCAACCAGGGAGCAAUGGAGAGGUGCAUGGUGGGAAGAAGCAGUCGGUAACAUAUCACAAAGAAUUACUGAGGAGAAGCAGUGUAAAGGAAUGUCAUGAAAAAUAUAGAAUAGAAAGAAAACAUGAGUAGAAUACACAAGAGAAUGUGGAGUCAGAAGAGCUGGUUCUGAAUGUCAGCCUUAGAAUGGAUGAACUGUGUGGCUCUGGCCAUCACUCUGAGCCUUUUUCUUCUCUGCGAAAUGGAGGGUGAGCCUGCUUCUAACAAGUCCCUCAAAAGCUUCUGUAACCCGUCCAAAUGAUGAUGUCAAGUGCUACAAGGCCCCAGGUCGGCCCCCAUCGCAGGCAGACCUAGAAGCAGUGAGAAAGCCAUCGAUUUUGAUCCUCACAGACCCUUCUUGUCAAGUACCAAUCCCUCUGCUGAUGCUACCAAUAAAUCCCAGGACAGAAAGAGUAAAACUUUUGUGGCGUUGCUUUUGGGGUUUUUUCACUCUGAACUUGUAAGAAGACUAAGGCUGAGAAAAAUAAGGGGAUUUGUUCAACAUCAUCGAAGUAAGAAGAAUCAGGCAGGGUCGGAGCCUGCAUCUUCUUGCUCCAGAGACAAUGCUCUUUCUACUGUACCAUAUUGCCUGAUGAAGAAUCUUUCUUUUCCAUAAAAUCACAUCCAGACAAGAAAAACAAUUUUAAAUUUAAACUGGAGGAGGAAGAGAGCAGCAACAACUGAGGAAUCAGGACAGUCUUCCAAUGGAAGGCGAUGACUGAACUGAGCCUGGUAGAAACUCAAGAUUGAGAUGCUUAUUACAUGCAUUCUUUUGGUGGGACAGAAAGGGAAAGGGUGAUUUCCACUCUCGCAAUGCCAUCUCCAAACGAGUGGUGUUGGCUCUUUGGCAGUCAUCACAUGCUAAAGUACAGAACUGGAGCCCAUCUGAAUAAAACAAAGAAGAGAGGCACAUUUGGAUGCCUAGAGAGGAGUUGUUUUGACAAAUGUCGAUACACAGCACUGGCUGGCUCUGGCCCGUUCUUCACUGCCUCCAACUGCUUGCAUACUUCAGCUAAUGCCACUUCUUCUGUCAGGGGAAAUUGGAUGUCCCCAACACAAUUUCACUGCCAUCUCCCUACAACAUUACAAGCUUCCUUGGCAGCCAAAUCACAUAUUCUUAUCACAAAAAAUAAAUAAAUGAGAGAAAAGAA